GAUGAAGAACGUAGCAAAAUGCGAUAAGUAAUGUGAAUUGCAGAAUUCAGUGAAUCAUCGAAUCUUUGAACGCUCAUUGCGCCCGCUGGUAUUCCGGCGGGCAUGCCUGUUCGAGCGUCAUUUCAACCCUCAAGCCCCCGGGUUUGGUGUUGGGGAUCGGCUCUGCCCUUCUGGGCGGUGCCGCCCCCGAAAUACAUUGGCGGUCUCGCUGCAGCCUCCAUUGCGUAGUAGCUAACACCUCGCAACUGGAACGCGGCGCGGCCAUGCCGUAAAACCCCAACUUCUGAAUGUUGACCUCGGAUCAGGUAGGAAUACCCGCUGAACUUAAGCAUAUCAAUAAGCGGAGGA
RNAcentral lists this unclassified non-coding RNA (348 nucleotides) under soil metagenome. Its description in RNAcentral is "partial contains 5.8S ribosomal RNA, internal transcribed spacer 2, and large subunit ribosomal RNA". The stretch from base 1 to 120 matches the Rfam family "5.8S ribosomal RNA", at positions 35 to 154 of the family's 154-position model. The record is from RNAcentral.